UUUUGAAAGGGAUAUCAGCGCACUUCCGGUAUGAGUUCCGUUUCACACACCCCCCGUCCGACUUGACGGAUAAAAGUUGAGGAGAGAGGCCAAGUUCCCAUUGAAAGCGGCUCACCGCUCGGGUUGCAACCAGAGAGGAGAGGCGCGCGGGGCGAGACCGACCUGAUCCGGCACACCGCGGGAAGCACGAGCGCGCAACGACACGCGUGGGAACGAACAAGGAGAGAGAAGGACACUCCGUGGGGACGCAGAAUUUCAUUUGCGUUUAGUGAACACUUUGCCACAUGUUGACGGACGCGUUCAGAGCCGCACGCGCACUGGCUUGUGGACGCAGCCUCAGCUGAACUGAACUUGGACACUGUGGGAACUGGUGUGGGCAGGCAGGAGGACCGUGCGGUAAGUCGUCGCCACACCUGCGCACUGGUCCCACCGCCCGGAAAACCCUCCGAGUUGAGUUGUGAUAAAAGACCGAUGGACAGCUUCGAGCCAGACGUCUCUCCACGCGCGUGAGUCACCGAGAGCGAAAAAAAACAAACAAUUCAAAACCGUUUGGACGAGAAUAUUGUAACAGCGCGUGCUUUUGAGCGAAA
This is a long non-coding RNA of Poeciliopsis prolifica (blackstripe livebearer), 590 nucleotides long. RefSeq lists it as uncharacterized. The transcript has 2 exons. The record is from RefSeq and is a predicted model, not a curated record. NCBI's taxonomy places the organism in Eukaryota, Metazoa, Chordata, Actinopteri, Cyprinodontiformes, Poeciliidae.